CUCUAAUUUUUCAUGAGUCUGAGCAAACACACAAACUCCCUGAGCGUCCCUUGGACCACUGUGAGCAACAUCAGACGUGUGCACUGUGGUCACACCAGCAUCACAUCCAUUCAAGUUACAUGGUUCAUUAAAAGAAUCAAAUUACAGCAUUUACAUUUCUGUUAAAACACUUUGUCAACAGGAGCCAGUUGAAGGCUGCAGUGAUUUUAGUGACACUACAAUGUAUAAGAGUGAAGUUAUUGAAUAUUUGUCUCUCUUUACUGUUGCAGCGGUUUUGCAAAUUGCAGACGGACCCUGUUCACUCCAUAGACACCAAUGUUAUUCCUGUAGCUUGAAAGACAGCUACUUUUGAUAAAACUGGGCUUGUAGCACAUUGUCUGCCUUGCAACAAUGGGAAAGAGGCAUCGUUUAUGUUUUGACAACCUAUAUCUAACGAGUUAUUGAUGCUGGAAGUGUGAAUCUGUGAAUAUCUUUCCAACUUUACUGAACUUGGGGCCACUACCACCUAAGGAGUGAUAUUGGUAGGUGUAACCUCUGCAGGUCCUGGUUAGGCCCCUCCUUCCCCUUGUGUGUGUGUUUCCUUUUUAGGAAGGAGUGACAGCAGACAGCAGCGGCAGGUGUAGACAGUUCUCAUCUGAGCAAUCAGCAGAAGUGGGAGCAGCUGUGCAGAACCAAUCAGUCCACCACUCCAUCAUUUUAUAACCUGACUCUUCUCUUCAUUCUUCGUCGGAUCGUAAAAAGCAACUACCUAGACUGCUCCCAGAUUUGGACUCCUCGGACCCACCUGCCUACCGGCCUUCCCCCACCGUCAGGAUUAGUCACCCGGUUCAUUCUCCAACCAUUCCUCCGUCGACUACCAGCUCCUGUCCUCACCAGCCGUCGCCGCUGCAGCCGCACGUCCAUUCCUCCGUUCCAUCGUCGAGCCACAGCCAGCCAUCCCUCCUAGAUGCCAGCUGAGCACCCGUCCGAGCAGACUCCGUUAGUGUUUAUAGUUCUUAAAGAAUAACAGUGCUAUAGUAGUUUUUUGUUUACCGGACCCCGGCUCAUAGUUAAAGUUCCAGUAGCCGUAAUGUUUAGCUUCCUAGUUGUUGGUUAUUCCACUUAAAACAUUUGAGUUUCUAGUUUGCGUGUCUUGUGUAACACUUUAGUUUGGGUGGCUUCCUUAAUAGGCCUUUUUGCUGAAGUAAUUUGGGCUAGUGUAAGCUGUAGUUCUCCUGCCCAGGAAUUACCUGUUGUGGGUCCGCCAGCCACUAGAGGCAACAAUCAGUUCUAGUUAAAGUCGUUAUCCCAUUGUUCCGGUACUCCCGGUAUUUUGAGUUUCUGUGGGAAUUGUAGUCCUUUAUCCCUUGUUUUUGAAUAAAUGACUAUUUAUGCAUA
Amphiprion ocellaris (clown anemonefish) is the source of this 1377-nucleotide long non-coding RNA. RefSeq lists it as uncharacterized. The record is from RefSeq and is a predicted model, not a curated record. The transcript has 2 exons. NCBI's taxonomy places the organism in Eukaryota, Metazoa, Chordata, Actinopteri, Pomacentridae.